CGUUAUGAAGCUAUUUAGCAUUAACCUUUUAAGUUAAAGAAUGAGAAUAAUUUUUCUCCAUAACGA
RNAcentral lists this transfer RNA (66 nucleotides) under Phyllomys dasythrix (Drab Atlantic tree-rat). RNAcentral's name for it is "tRNA-Lys". RNAcentral also lists the same sequence under 1 other name. Lineage: Eukaryota; Metazoa; Chordata; Mammalia; Rodentia; Echimyidae. The record is from RNAcentral.